Molecule: long non-coding RNA, 2556 nt
Organism: Triticum aestivum (bread wheat)
Lineage: Eukaryota; Viridiplantae; Streptophyta; Magnoliopsida; Poales; Poaceae
Exons: 6
Source: RefSeq, a predicted model, not a curated record
AAGUUUAUCUCAAAACUUCACCUUCUAUGAAUGCCCCCAGGUGGUGCAUAUCUAAAAGCUCUUUGUGCAUUCUUAAGAUUUUUGUAUAUGCAUUUGCGUGAAUUGAGCCCGGAUCUGAUCUGGUUUGGCUAUGUUCAUGGUUUUCUUUGGUCAUGUAUGAGUGGAAAAGGGAGGCAGGGGAGUUCCAGUUUGUGAGGACAGUGGUGACAUGGUUGACUGAAUGGCAAUAGGAAGAAGGCACAUCUCAUAUAAUUGUUUUAUUCAAGACAAGUCUACACUCUCUUAUGUCAAAUUUGCACAGAUUUCCCUGCCCUAGGCUAUUUCUAAGGGGGAGAGAAGAGUGUUAUUUUUUUGGGGAUUACAAAGAAUGGUAGCGCAUGAGGAGUAUUAGCCACGGAGGAGGGAGGAGACUGACAUGAGGAAAACAUAUUCUGGAUCGAUUUGGUUCUCAUGGUGGCAUCUUCCCUGCUUUCUCCUUUCUUUUUAUUUCCAACACUCUUUGGUACAGAGCGGUUAACAAACAACUGAACUGAAUAUUGCUUUUUCUCCUUUUCAGAUAAGUUAGUUUACAUUAGUUUUCUGUUUGCUUUCCGUAUGGAUCUAUACAUGUUAUUUUUAUAUCCAGUUUUCUGGGUGCUUUUCAAAAAGGGGGAGACCCAUGGCCGAUAUAGUUGCAUUAAGGUGCAAUUUGAUAACUAAAUACAUAAUAUAAGUCCAUCAAAAUAUUACAUGCAUGUGUGCUGUUUGUGCUUGUAUACCUUCAAUCUGCUUUGUGGAAGGCUGUUCGUAUUAAACUUUAGUGCUCGGUUGUUCAUCAUAGUCCCAUUCCCUUGAUAAUUAAUAUUGAAGCAAUGAAAAAUAGGUGAAAUUGCAAGAAACUUGAAGAAGUGGAGGAACAUGACUCAGUCUGUCAUUGGGGACAUGCACUGUUACAGAUACACUCUGUAUCUCUACCUAUCGUUGGUGUGAUGUUUGAACAUUAAGUUGUCAUUUAAUUAUGGCAUUCCCUUCUGCUUUUGUUUAUGCUAUAACAAUAGCCGCAAACUAUCUUCGGGGCGUAUGGCAGGUUUGCUGACAAUCUGAUUGCAUUGCAGGUUUGGUACUAAUUUCUCAAAAAAUCAUGCUUUUGCAGCACCGUCCUGUUGAGCCAUGAGAUCUGAACCAAGGAAUCCAGAUAACAUCGACUAUGUUUAUAGAUCACUACAUGUUCCGUUGGAACAUUGUGAGGUCCUUUUUCCAGUUUGCUACUAAAUUCUCAAAAAAGAAACGUUCUUAUGCAUCACCAUCAUGUGGAACCACGAUACCUGAACCAAUGAACUCAGUGAACAUUUAUUAUAUUUAUUAUGGAUCAUUACAUGUUCUGCUGGAACAAGGAGGUGAAGAUGCUCACGCCUAAAGCCAAACUUGACGCCGUCGACGCCACCAUCCGGGAGCUCAUUUAUAUUGGCUUCGAAUGGCUACCGUUGUAUUUUCUGUACUUUUGGUUGUGGUUGUAAUUGUUACCCUAUGCCUUUGCAAGAAUAACUGAAAAUGGUGAUUUCUAUUGACUGGAAACCGAGUACUUGUCUAAUUAUUGUUCAAGAAAAUAUAGUGAGUCGUGUUCUUGGUUGCUAAUAGUAUAGUACACCUAUGCGGAUCCUUCUGUCGGACCGUUGAAUGGAAAUAACUCAAAAGAAGAUAAUAGAGAUGUUGUCUCUAUGCAAUCGGUAACUGUCAGUUCAGUUGCAAAGAACGACCAUCACAAAUAACUUUGAGAUGUCCAUUGGUAAAGGUCAGAUUGGAGUAGUCUAUUUUGGCUACUUGGAAGAUGGAACCCCAGUUGCAGUCAAAACAUGCUUAGAAUCAUCAUCUCAUGGGGUUAAUGAGUUCUUGGCAGAGGCUCUACAUCUAAUAAGAGUUCAUCACAGGAACUUGGUCAAUCUGGUUAGCCACUACAAGGAUGGACACCACUCAACUCUUGUCUACGAGUAUAAAUUGCUAAUUUGCAUUGCUCUUUCGUGCAACAAGUGCGUUGAUACUUACAAACAACAAGGCAUGUGACUAUUUACUAUCACUGUUGUUUGGUAUUCGAACAUGUCUUUUCGAGGGGGAGAUGGGAACAGAUAGACUCAGUGAAAGUUGGCUGCACGUAAACUAUUGUGAUCAAGUUGGAAAAAAUGUUUCCCCUCUUAACUGCUCCUGUUGGAGACUGGGGUCAGUAGUCACUGAAAUUUGCACACGCAUGGAGGAAUGAAUGAUGAUUCUCAAGUAAUGAAGUUGUAGCCUUCACGACAAGAUAAAUGGAUAAUUUUGCAGCUCAAGUGUUGCUACAUGUUACAGAUAACUAUGGCAUUCCAUUUUAAUGAAUCUGCAUAUUGCUGUUGUGAGUAAUAUUUCACCCUAAGAAUAAUAUUGUUGUAUCUCCAGUUUCUAUGUUGCAGCAAUGGGUAGUUGUGCUUUAGUCCCCCUUCAGCUUUUUUUUAACAUGUGGUUCCUUCAGCUUUUUGUUGUCAAGUCUUUCUGACUAUUAUAGCUGCACAAUUUUUAGCAACGGGUAGUCGUGUUCUCUAUCAUCAU